This 23-nucleotide microRNA is filed under the name Ciona intestinalis (vase tunicate). RNAcentral describes it as "cin-miR-4204-5p". Lineage: Eukaryota; Metazoa; Chordata; Ascidiacea; Phlebobranchia; Cionidae. The record is from miRBase by way of RNAcentral.
UAAAUAUAAUGUCAUUUAUACAU